UGGAACUCAAAUAAACCAACUCACAAUGUUCUUGCAGCUGGUUGAUCGGAGAGAGCCUAGCCAAAACCCAAUGCCUCUGUCUUCAAUGGACUGGUAUGGACGAAUCAGGACUUGGACAGAACCUCCUCGGACUUCUGGAUCUUCUUCUUGGACUUUCGGUAGAACAAUGGCUCUUAAAAAUGCUCUAACUUCUUCAAAACAGCUCCAAAUCCUUCACUUCCUUUUUCUACUUCACUUUCUCUCUCUAGCCCAAGUUUUAGAGUGAUGUUUGAGUGUGUGGAAUGAAUGAAACGAGCUGGGGGAGCUGGGUUUAUAUAGAUAUGGCCAACCAUUGAAAUGGUGCCACUCCAUCGCCUGUGUGUCGUCCCGC
RNAcentral lists this long non-coding RNA (370 nucleotides) under Brassica rapa (field mustard). RNAcentral describes it as "long non-coding RNA (BRAP_LNC008668)". The record is from RNAcentral. Lineage: Eukaryota; Viridiplantae; Streptophyta; Magnoliopsida; Brassicales; Brassicaceae.